RNAcentral lists this ribosomal RNA (440 nucleotides) under uncultured bacterium. Its description in RNAcentral is "partial 16S ribosomal RNA". It matches the Rfam family "Bacterial small subunit ribosomal RNA", at positions 338 to 795 of the family's 1533-position model. The record is from RNAcentral.
CCUACGGGAGGCAGCAGUAGGGAAUAUUGCUCAAUGGGGGAAACCCUGAAGCAGCAACGCCGCGUGGAGGAUGAAGGUUUUAGGAUUGUAAACUCCUUUUGUUAGAGAAGAUAAUGACGGUAUCUAACGAAUAAGCACCGGCUAACUCCGUGCCAGCAGCCGCGGUAAUACGGAGGGUGCAAGCGUUACUCGGAAUCACUGGGCGUAAAGAGUGCGCAGGCGGGCUUGGAAGUCAGAUGUGAAAUCCUUUGGCUUAACUACAGAACUGCAUUUGAAACUAUGAGUCUAGAGUGUGGGAGAGGUAGGUGGAAUUCUUGGUGUAGGGGUAAAAGCCGUAGAUAUCAAGAGGAAUACUCAUUGCGAAGGCGACCUACUGGAACAUUACUGACGCUCAUGCGCGAAAGCGUGGGGAGCAAACAGGAUUAGAUACCCUAGUAGUC